GCAUGGGAGAAGAUGGAGAGCCACCUCUCUUUCUUUUCUGUCUUUGGCAGGAGGGACAGUUGAACAAAAAUAUUAAGAUCAAGGUCAGUGACAGGAGAGCAAGCCAGACUGUCUGCUGUUGAUGACUAUGCCCAGGUCCAGUGGAAGUCUCUGCAGGAAGGGAAUAAGCAGCUGCCCAGCGAGGAGCAGAAGUACCCUGGGGGAAGAGCUCCUGGAGUGUGGGGCUGGCCUGGAAGAAAGAUAUGUCCUGCAAGCAUCAGGAGCUGUCAGUACAAGUUGUACACCUCCUCAGAAGAAGAGGGAGCUGACACAAUCAGCUCUCAAAGGAGUGGAAAGAAAAACUGAUGUUAGGGAGCCUGGGAAAGAAGAGUAGCAUUUAUUGCAAUCCAGAAAGUUACUGGAAUGAAAGCAAAGAAAGAGGACAGGAUCUGCCCUUCAGGGACACGGUAGCUCAGAGAUUCAGGUUCUUCCUCAUUCUAAGUUUCCUCUCCUGAAAAAGAUCAAAAAGACCAAAAUAUCAGACUUUGGACAAGUACUACCCCGGUACAAAAAAAGACAGGGGUCUCCUGGAAAGAGUCCAGCAGAGGGCCACAAAGAUGUACGGGGCCUAGAGCAUCUCCUCUAUGAGGAAAGGCUGAGGGACCUGGGUCUGUUCAGCCUUGAGAAAAGAAGACUGCAAGGGGAUCUUAUUAAUGUUUAUAAAUACCUGAAGUGUGGGAGACAAAGGGGUUUGGCCAACCUCUUUUCAGUGGUUUGCGGGGACAGGGCAAGGGGCAAUGGCCAAAAAAUGGAUCACAGGAAGUUUUGCACCAACAUGCAAAAGAACUUCUUCAUGGUGAGGGUGAUGGAGCACUGGAACAGGCUGCCCAGGGAGGUUGUGGAGGUACCUCCUUCUCUGGAGGUAUUGAAGACCUGUCUGGAUGCCUACCUGUGGACCUUCUUUAGGGAACCUGCUGUGGCAGGGAGGUUGGACCAGAUGAUCUCUUGAGGUCCC
RNAcentral lists this long non-coding RNA (994 nucleotides) under Anas platyrhynchos platyrhynchos (common mallard). Its description in RNAcentral is "lncRNA (ENSAPLG00000030243.1)". Lineage: Eukaryota; Metazoa; Chordata; Aves; Anseriformes; Anatidae. The record is from RNAcentral.